Non-coding RNA from Labrus bergylta (ballan wrasse), 4800 nucleotides. NCBI's taxonomy places the organism in Eukaryota, Metazoa, Chordata, Actinopteri, Labriformes, Labridae. The record is from RefSeq and is a predicted model, not a curated record.
AGAUAUUAAGAGAGCUGUGCGAACAACCCUGACGUUAUGUGGGCCAUAAAAAAGACCCGCACAGAGAUUUAAGUUCCUGUCAGGUCGUCGUUGUGUGAAGCUGAAUGUUCUUUGUUUCAUCUUUAGGACUGGCCCACUCCAGCGAGCCCUAUUGUGCUCUCCAAGUUUGCGCGUUUAUAUUAUUUUUUGCGCAUAGAAAAUCCUAAUACAUGUCAUUGUCAUGGUCAGUCGACAACUGAAGUUUGAAUCGCAAAUACUCCGCGUUUAUAGCACGUUAAGGCUCGAGCCACCUUCUUCAUCUCCUUUUCCUGAGCUCCUAGCGGCCUGUUUCCUCGCGUCAGAGGACUCUGUAGUAGAGAGGCAACAUGGCGCGCGUAGUCUGGUAUGGUCGGAGAGGCCGUGAGGCUGUGCGCGCACUGCUAUCAUUUUGUUGUCUCGAUCUGUGAAACACGGGCCUGCACCAGUCAUACUCAGAUACAAUGGGAGAGGCGCAGAAAUAGGGCAAAUCUCAUACAGGUCAAUCAUUCGUGUGGGGCCGCCGCUGAUGAAGGCGAUGAAGUGCAGAGAAUGAGAGCUGUGCCUGGGCCUACUACUACUGCUGCUGCAGCCCGGAUUGUGCAGAUCCGCUCUCUCAAACCGAGAAAAGCCCUCGCUUUGUGCCACAUUAUCAAACAUCCGCUGCUGGCUUCACGGUGACCGUCCUCCAAAUGGAUACAGCCGUGACAACAUGAAUCAGUCACACAGACCGCCUGUCAGGGUCGGCUCGGUUUUUGGUUCAGGCCAGCCAGAGCUGAGGCCCCACAAUGGUCUUGUGAGCACUUCGUAUGGAAACCAAUGUGGCAUCGUGAGGCGAGGGUCGGACCAACAGUCAGCCGUGCAGCUGCCGUCCUCCAGCAUCAAACCUCCAGCUGUACUGGGGUACAACCAGACUAACCGGUCACACUGCUACAAUCCCCUGAGGAGGCUGCACGACCUGAACACUGUGGUCAGCAGGCCUGACCUGGAGAAGGACCUCCAUCCCAACAACCACUUCCACUGUGCAAUCCCCAUCAGUGAUGAUGAGUUCGAGGCACCCUCAGUCCAGUUGCCUCUCUCUCCAGGUGAUGAUGACGUGGAGUCCUUGGAGACGCUGCAGGAUGUGAGAAGAAAUGGCUUCUCCCCUAACAGUCCGGACAGCUUGGAGCGCUGUUCUCCCAUCCCCAAUGGCUGCCUGCAUUUUGAGUCCAUGCUGUUUGACAGCAGUGACAUUAAGGAGGAGGAUGAGGAGGGGGGGCACUGUAGUAGUGACGAGCUGGUGCCAUUUCACCACCCCAAAAAGUUGAGUAAGGACUGGACUGUUUCUGACAGCAGGACCGCAUGCAGCUCAGGGGGGGAUAAAAUAACGUACAAACCUACUGUGUUUAAUCUGAUGUCCAAAACUAUAUCCGAACUCAACCCUACACUAAGCCCCAGCGCACUGCCAGACAUCACUAUGAGAGAUGGUUGGAGUUUGGGUGAGGAAUCACUGAGUGAGGAUGAACUUACCUCUCCUGUUGACCCUGGACUUAUUUCACCAGCCAGGACCAACUCCAACUCAAACAGCCCAAAGAAAAAGCCUCUUCCUGCAGUGAAAUACUUGGAAGGGGACUUGGUGUGGGCUAAAUUUAACAGACGGCCCUGGUGGCCCUGCCAUGUCACAUGUGAUCAGGACAAGGGGACCCACACUAAGAUGAAAGUUCCCAGUCCCCGUCCUUGUAGGAUGUAUUUUCUGGAGAUGCUUGGUGAGGUUGCAGAGAAGGCCUGGGUCCCAGGCACUGCAAUUCAUCUUUUUGAAGGAGGCCAUCAGUUUGAAGAGCUUCCAGUUCUCAGACGAAGAGGGAAGCAGAAGGAGAAAAACUACAAAUAUUUGAUACCGAAAAGUUUACUGACGGCUUGGAAAGUCAGUGUAGCGGAAGCUGAGUAUCUGCUCCAACAUCGACAAAGGAAUACUGAAAGCAUUCUUUCAUUAUCUGUCAAUGGAGAGGAGCGUGUGCCCAGCCCGGUGUGUGCUGAAAAGCCACAGGAGUCUCCCUCUGUCUCUAUGGAUCGGAAUCAAACUCAUUCACCCUUUAAAGGCCCCAAUGGAAAUGAGCCUUAUCUCAUCAAGAACUCUGCCGCAACUCAACCCAACAAGAGCAAAUACUGUAAGAAGAAAAAGAAAUGUUUGUCAGACAUAUUUGGACACAUAGUCGGUGGUUCAAAGGAGGGAUCUAUUAUUACAAACAUUGUGGAUCAGGUUCAUACUACAAAUCAUGCACUGAAAGAUGAGCCAAAGGACUCACCUUAUGCAGACAUGGAUUCUGUCCCAAUGCUGCACCGUCCUAAACGCACAGCGACGUCUCCAACACCGGAUGUAGACAGAUUCAUCUGGAAAGAACAGGGUUCAACUAAAACAAAGUUUACUGAAAGAGCAAAUCGUUCCGCCGAUACCUGUGACUCUUCUAGUGUUUUAAAUAAAAAGACAUCAAAAGAAACAAACUCUGAGAAGAGUUUUGGCAGCUGUAAUGAAUUGUCGAGCAGUUCAAAUGGAAAGCACUCUCUGGAACUUCCUGCCAGCAGUGGUCUGAUGACUCGGGCUCUGAGAGCAAAGGAAGAGACGGAUAUUAAAGAUGCACUGGCAACUAGCCAAAACUUAACAGAUGCCCCCGCUGAUGAUUGUCCUGAUAAAGCACCUACUCGUACACCAAUCGAAGCUGAAAUCUCUCCUCACUGGGAAUCACCCAGCAAAGCGCCAUGCCCUCCAAGACGACGUGCAAGGAAGCCUGAUAAGAAACACAUUCACAACGGCUCAUUGAUGAACCCCAAGAGUUUCGGCACUAGUUUACCCACAGUGCAACCUGUUCAAAUUAAGAUAGAAAAGCUCGAUCGGCCAUCUUCAUCUUCCCCAUCCUCAUCUCUGUCUCCGAUGGAGGCUUUCCAGGAUCCGAAAGAGCUGACAUUUAAAUCUCUUGUGAAAGAAGACAGCAGUGACUCUGAGUCGAAUGCAUUUCAACCUGAUUCUAAUUAUAAGUUCAGUACCUUUCUCAUGCUCCUGAAGGACAUGCACGAUACCAGAGAAAUGGAAGGUAAGCCCCUCACUCUGCCACCAUCACCAGUCCUGAUCAAAGAGGAACCUCUGGUCAUGCCUACAUCUACAGGUGGAGACUCACUGAAGGCUUCCGGUGAGGUUUUUACUCAAGGGAUUAAAACGGAGAGCCAAAACAGAGCUUUAAAAGCCAAGAGUAGGACUAAAGCUAUCAUGUCAGCAGACACCUAUCACUUUGAAGACUUCCCUGUUCACUUAAAGGCUAGAGGCUCAGACAAGCAGCAUAGAAAGCAAAAACUUCCUGCCAAACUUAAACUCGGCAUACCAGGCCUGUCUAUGGACCUGGCGGACUUGGCUUACGGCAGAGGGUUUGUGAGUGGCCACGCUGACUUAGCUGAUCCUGGGUCGGCUGUUCCCAAGGCCGGCUUCCCCAAGAAGAACUCAGGAGCCGCCGUGGCGCCAAAGAAACGCUGGCAGCAGGUGGAUGAGACUGCAGAGGGUCGGGGUGAAAUUACUUGCAGGGCAUCGACUGACACGAACGGGUCUUACCCUGUGAGAGCAUCGCCGGAGUUCGAUCCAGGGGUCGAGAAAAGGGACGAGAAUGACUCGCACAACUCAGACACGAGCAGCUCCGCCGAGAAUAAACGCCUCCGAAAACCAACAAAAAGGCUCCUCGAGUCAACGGAGGAGUAUGAACAAAUAUUUGCCCAAAAAAAAAAAUCAAAGAAACACACCUCAGAAUCUUCCAAAUGGCAGACAUCAAUGAUGGCCGCCCUCCACGAUGUCAGCACCACAGCAGGAACGACUACCUCAUCCUCGUCUUCUGUGGAGCCCGCCGAGGCGCUGUCAGAGCUGGAGCAGAGUCCAUCUCAUGAUACACUCUCUCCUGUUGCACGCUCAGUAUCUCCAACCUCGACACGACCCUCGCUUGACACAGAGGCAGCAGUAGAAAGUGAUCUACCUCCUGAAAUGGACAAGGCGUCAAUCACCCAAGAAAGAAAGCGGCCAAGGAAGCUGUCGCAUAAGGUGCUGGAGUGUACAAUAGAAGAAGUGUCUGUAGCUCUGACGAAGAAGAAGGAGCCAAAGCGAUGCAGUGGAGUUACUGCAGAGAUAAAGGUGCAAGCCAAGAAAACUCAGGUUGGAUUUUCAAAGAAAGAGAAGCCUGCAUCCGGCAUGUCCUCUUCCCCGCCAAUGCUGCUUCCGCCCAGAACUCAGACGUCAAAGAUCGCCUCAGGGCCCUCACUCCAAACAUACCUCCCAGCCCCCAAGGAUCAAAGACCCCCAAGCGGGAGGCAGAGAUGGAGGCUUGUAGCAUCGAUGAGAAACAAAAUGAACACACUGGAACACUAACACCCAACCCUGAGGUGCUGCCUAUUGGUUUGAAUGAUACCUUCUCUUCCCAUGUGGAUGUGAAAGUGAAAAUAGGGGCUUCCACCUUAAAGGAGAAUGUCUGUCAGGUGUGUGAGAGGACAGGAGACCUGGUGCUGUGCGAGGGUCACUGUUACGGAGCCUUUCACCUGCAGUGCAUUGGCCUGUCAGCGGCUCCAAAGGGAAAAUUCUUCUGUGGUGAAUGCAAAGCUGGCGUCCACUUGUGUUUCGUGUGCAAGAAGUCUGGUAAUGGGGUGAAGCGCUGCAUCAUACCGCUGUGCGGGAAGUUUUACCAUGCCGACUGCAUACUUGCAUACUCGCCGACACAACCACACAACAAAGGCGUCCGCUGCCCCCUGCACGUGUGUCUGUCCUGCCACAUCACCAAC